Molecule: ribosomal RNA, 255 nt
Filed under: uncultured bacterium
Lineage: Bacteria
Description: partial 16S ribosomal RNA
Rfam family: Bacterial small subunit ribosomal RNA
Source: RNAcentral
UAACGUAGGGUGCAAGCGUUGUCCGGAAUUAUUGGGCGUAAAGAGCUCGUAGGCGGUCUGUCGCGUCGGCUGUGAAAACCCGAGGCUCAACCUCGGGCCUGCAGUCGAUACGGGCAAACUAGAGUACUGCAGGGGAGACUGGAAUUCCUGGUGUAGCGGUGAAAUGCGCAGAUAUCAGGAGGAACACCGGUGGCGAAGGCGGGUCUCUGGGCAGUAACUGACGUGGAGGAGCGAAAGCCGUGGGGAGCGAACAGG